This is a long non-coding RNA of Chinchilla lanigera (long-tailed chinchilla), 2649 nucleotides long. RefSeq lists it as uncharacterized. The record is from RefSeq and is a predicted model, not a curated record. The transcript is spliced from 2 exons. Lineage: Eukaryota; Metazoa; Chordata; Mammalia; Rodentia; Chinchillidae.
CAACACAGCACAGCCUGUAACUGGAAAGAAGAACCCACCAAAGUCGGCUCACCCACAUUCCAAACCUGAGAACACAAGGUUUACACAGGUCUUGCCAGAUGACUGUGCUCUGGGGACAUCCUGCGCACUGCAGUGGGACUACUUUAGCACUGUUCCUAGGCUUCACUUGGCUGUGAGUAACACCUCUCUGCAGUUGUGACAGCUGAAAAGUCUCUAGACAUUACCAAACGUCCCCUGGGGAACACAACUGCCCCAGUAGAGAAAAGACAUUUUAAUCAGAAGGAAACCUGUAGUUUUCCUGAACCGAUUCUAGGCUAGUUCUCUGGUUCAACACCAUCUGCUUGUGGUUAAGUUCUUUCCCCUAUUUUUAAUAACAUCUAGUACGACCACUGUCAUUACUCUAACAUAUAUAUAGAGAAAGAGCUUCAACACAGGACAGGGCAGGAAAAUGGCAAAAAGCUGUUUCAAAAUCAGUUGACAUGUUUGCCAAAAGACUCACGUACCCCCUUCUGAAUUCUUUUUCUGGGUUCAGACCUGCUGUUCCAAGGAAUUCUACUCACUGCCACUCUCUAGACCCAGCUAAGAGCUACCAGCCUACACUUUCACAACUGGUCUGAGGGCGCACAUGACUUUAAUCUACCUCCCUUGGUGAGCAAGAAGAGUGGCUGGGAUGUAACCCUCAUCCAGGACCACGUGGAGCCAGGGCAAAGGCGAGACUAGAACCAAGGCCAAGCUACUCUGAAGUCCUUUGACACAGAGGGCUGCUUAACGGCCCACUCUUCUUCCAAAGCCCAGCAGGGUUGGACAAAGGUGACAUUCCCAGCCCAUGAUUUCUGGCGAGCGUCCAAUGUCCUGGCCCAUCGGCUCUGAGGCCAAGCAGCAGCCUUGGAGCUGUUGUGAGGCUGUGGAUGGAACAGCCAUGUGACACCCUCACCGCCAAGUGGCCCUGGGUGUGUGACCUUUUAGUGUCAGUGUCCUCACUUGUUAAAGGGAGGACACCGAAGCUGCCUCACACAGCUUUGUUAGUGUUAAAUAAAACACGCUACCUGGAUCACAAGGGACACCAAAUAAAUGUCACCCCUCUUCCUGGGAAUCCCAGGGCCUUGUCAUACUCUGGGCAGCCACAAAAAACUGUUUCUCACUUCUUUUUUUUUGGGGGGGGGGGUGGUUUUUCUCCAGUACCGGGAACCAAACUCACGACCUUGCGCAUGCCAGGCAGGCGCUUUUGCCGCUGAGCUAAAUCCCCAGCCCUGUUUCUCACUUCUUAUUCUUCACUGUUCUCUACUGCUCCAAGGUCCCCUGGUUAGAAGUCAAGCACACUGAAUUUCAAGAGGCAGGAGACUGCCUAACAUGGACUGAAUGGUACCUGCCUUGCCACAGACCGGAGGAAAAUCCCAAGGUAUCCGCAGCUUAACCUGGUGGAUGAGAACGGGAGCUUUGAAGCUAAUCAGCCUGGGUACCAAACCUUGCUCUGCACUCACUAGCUGUGUAACCACAGGCAAGCGGCCAGCCCUCCCUGUUGCUUCAUUCCCCUCAUCUGUGUAACCCCGGGGUAACAGUAACAGUAUCUGUCUUACAGGGCUGGUAUGAGAACUGAAUGAGUUAGUGGGCGGAAACCAUUUAUUUAAAAAGUGCCUCACACACAGAAAAGUGCUCCAUAAACACUCAUUGUUUUUGUUGUGCCUUUGCCUGCCUCUGUUGGGUGGGGGAGACACAAGCCAGGCAGUGGAACUCCCUGGAACAGGGCAGAGGUAGCUAGGAACAAAGGUGGAGUUGAUGCUGAAGAACCAGCACCCUGGGCUCACAGCCUGGGGCUCCCUGGCUGACCCAGCAGCCUGCGAGCAAGCCCUGGUCUGCUCAGGCUUGUGAAGGACCUGCCCAGCCACCCAUGCUGUGGGAAAAAAGGCAUCUCACCAAACCCGCCCUCUUGCCCUCAUCCAAGGCAGUGAGACAAGCCAGAGACUGUGAUUUCUCAGCAGCUCACCUCCUGCUGGCUUCCUUUCCUAAGAUGCUCUGCUGGUGCCCAGCUGGUGGGUUCCCUCAGAUGGCACUGCCCAGAGCCCCUCACUCCUCAGCAGCCCAGCUUCCCUCAGACCCCAUGGGAAGCCCUGCAUGCUGUCAUCAGGGCUUGGGGCUCCCCUCCACAGUCUACAGGGCCCGGAGACUUCAUCCACCUCUCUCCUCUCUGCUGCCUGAUGCCUCUGUUUCAGCCACACCAAUCCCCACCGUCCUACACCAGGCAUCAGGCACACUCCCCACGCUGCGCCCUGCUUGGGCUGCCAGGCAAACCCUCUGCUAGGAAAAAUGCUUGUCACUCUCCCGCCAUACUCGGGCUCAGGGCAACUCCAAGGCUCAGACAGCCCUGCUAAAGCAGCCCUCUGUCCCUGUCACCACCCUGCUGUGCCGUCCCCAGUGCUACCUGGCAAUGCAGCCCAGGCUCACUGUCUGGCUCCCCCAGGAAAGGUUAACUUCCAGGAAGAGGGGAUUUGGUUGGUUUGUUUCUUUUUAUCACCUACCCCUGGCACCUGUCAUUUGGUAAACAUUCGACAAAUACCCACUGGACAAACGAAUAAACGAAUCUGGCCUUUUUGUGGACUUUAAACCCAGGAAGAGCCUCUACGCUCCAAAUGGAAUAAAACUUCUUUGAUA